This 2019-nucleotide long non-coding RNA is filed under the name Zalophus californianus (California sea lion). RNAcentral's name for it is "lncRNA (ENSZCAG00015013031.1)". The record is from RNAcentral. Lineage: Eukaryota; Metazoa; Chordata; Mammalia; Carnivora; Otariidae.
AAAGUAAAACAUUUACUUAAAUCCAAUGCUUCAUUCAUCUCAAAGCCUCUUUCUGUCUUGGGCUUAGGUCUGAUCAAUGGAGCAGGUAGGAAGGAGCCCCUUUCACGUUCUUCCUGGCUGCCCCCCUCCUCCUCCUCCACGGGACCCUCCAGCAUCAGAGCAGAAGGGAAGGCAGCCGAACAAUCGACGCUGUCAGCUUUUGGAUCACAGUCCAGAUUCCUAAACAGCAACAUGUAUGAGCUCAGGCUUCCCACGCAUGUCCUUGGAAGCAUCCGUGGCCUCGAAGGGAAUAACUCAUGGAGUAAAACAACAUCUGUUGACUCCUACCGUAUAUGCAUGAGGAAACUAGUCUCUGAGACACCCGGACAUCGCACCCAAAUACAGUCCCCUUGGUUUCAUUACUGUUCUCUGAAUUUGUGUUCUAACUUGUGGCAGUUAAUGUAUUAGGGUUGCAUUAAGUCCUUUCCAUACCAGAAUUAUAUUCUGUUAAGUAUCGCAAUUGUCACUGUGAUUUGGAUGUAAUUCAAGGUCCCCCCUAGGGUGAGGCAGGCCAGGUGCCCAAAACUUAAGGAGACAUUCUUUCUCAGGCUUGGGCAAGCACAGAACUGACCCAGGAGAGUGAGCAUCCCUUCAUUGUCACGUCCUGGGCACCUCUCACUUUUUUCUUAACCUAGUUCUGGCCACUGACUUUCCCUCUUCCCCCUUCUUCUUCUCCUCAAAAUAUUCCAAUGGAGAGUAUUUUGGAAAGUACUUGGGUAAUCCUCUGAAUUCCAGAACAGCAGAGAAUUUCUUUCUUAAUAUGCCACACUAUCAUUAUGGAGCCUAAAUACAUUAAAAUAUUAAGUUAGCCAGGAAAAGUUUUGUUUCACAAAAAUUUCCAAUCAGUAUUGACUUCCUGCGAGUCUCUUCUGGUAUCUAAUGCAAUAAGGAAGGCUGGUCAGCCAACUAAUUUUUGUAGGACAGGUGUAUGUAGGUAGGUGUGAUAGGGUUCUCUCUUUUCCCUGAAACUCGAUACUUUUCACCAAGAAGUCCAAGGUGUGAAUCACUUUCAAUUUGAUGUUGCCUUGAAUAUUAUGAGUAAUUUGCUUUUCGGCUAGUGGUCUUGGAAUUUCCUUCAAUUUUUUUUUUAAUUAAUGAUUCUUCUCUAUUUGUUAAGAAUCCCUCAUCUAUUUAUCUGUAUGCUAGAACCUUGUUACCAAUCUUCCAGUUUCUGCUGACUUCAUCCUUGAAUCUUUUACUUUGCUUUCUCCCUGGUGGAAGCACACCGACACAUAUCCCAAGCUCUUCUCCAACUUCCAUAAGUUCCAAAUUAUUUCUUAAAAUUGCCUGAAAAUAUGCUGACGUCCACAUUAUUCCUCUUCCCAUUUUUUAAAAAAAAGAAAGGCAUGCACACCUUUUUGUGAGCCAAUGUUUAGAGUAAAUACCUCCGGCUUGUCAACAAAGGGAUAAUUCCAAGUACCAGGUUGGGGAUUACCUGUUAAUGAUUAAUACAUUCACCUAGCUCUUGGUUUUCCUGCCUUUCCUGGCCUGUUGUGUGUGUUUUUAUUAUAGGUGAAGGUUGACCAGGGCUGGAACGUUCUGAAUUCAGAGCAACAAGGAAGGUUAGGGAACCAGUUCUUUGAAGUGAAGCUGGGAUAUUUUCCCAGUUUCAAGAUAUAUUUGAUAAAAUUCUCAGAUAAAAAAUUAUGUGGUUACUUCUAGAUUGGGUAUGAAUUUUACAAUAAUGUGGUUCAAACCUCUAUUAAAAUCAAAUCAUGUCAUGAAAUGUUUACUCUAAUUGUAAUCAUUUCUCCUCUUAUUUCAUCUUAUAAAAUGUUUAAUGUUUUCUUUUAUUUAUAAAACAACUCAUUUAUAUUUUUGAUGAAAAGUGUUAGAUGUCAAGUUAAAAAUGUUCAAGGAGGUAGCUAAAGUUUCCAAAAUUCUUUUAUGCGGUACACAAUCAAAAGAGUUUGAAGCCUGUUUCUCUCUAUAAAAGGUCUAUUUUUAAGCAGUAUCCAUUCUGAUGCUUACUAUUCCUGG